UCCGGAUCCUGGUCACCGAUAUCAUCGGCAACCAGGCCCGGGUCGGGAUCGAGGCGCCGCGUGGCGUCCUGAUCGUUCGCGACGAGUUGAAAACGGCACCGAAAGGCUGACGAACGGUAGAAAGUAAAAGCCCCGCGUUCGCGGGGCUUUU
RNAcentral lists this small RNA (151 nucleotides) under Pseudomonas aeruginosa C-NN2. RNAcentral describes it as "RsmN". Lineage: Bacteria; Pseudomonadati; Pseudomonadota; Gammaproteobacteria; Pseudomonadales; Pseudomonadaceae. The record is from RNAcentral.